This is a long non-coding RNA of Amphiprion ocellaris (clown anemonefish), 465 nucleotides long. The record is from Ensembl. Lineage: Eukaryota; Metazoa; Chordata; Actinopteri; Pomacentridae.
GUCACCGCAAAAUUGAGGAAAGGAAUAUGUUUGACAUUUUUUCGGAAGAAAACUACGAAAAACUAUUUAUAGUAUGUUUUAAACCAGUUGUUGCUGUUGAUAUAUAAUUUAUUCAGACACCGUGUCACCUGUCAGGAGUUGCAGCUAAAGUAAAAACCACAAAAGAAGCGGAAGUGGGAAGUGGAAGUGGAAAAGUAACAGGAUGCAUUCACUUGUUUAUUGUUCAAGGAUACAUCCAAAGAGGCAUCUUUUUGACUUGGAUUCAACGCAGGAUCCGAUGCAGUUUGACAGAACAACCUUUUGAAGAGCUCUGACCUUCUGAUGACCCUCCACAGUGUGAAACAUAGGAGUGGCUGCAGACCCAAGUGUGAGUGUCUGCACUCUGUCUGCUGCACAAACAAUCAGAUUUCACCUUGAGCGCUUUCGUGUCUCUCUCUGUACCAGCAUGGACGAAGCCCUCAUGGG